GUAGGGUGCGAGCGUUAAUCGGAAUUACUGGGCGUAAAGCGUGCGCAGGCGGUUUUGUAAGCCAGAUGUGAAAGCCCCGGGCUUAACCUGGGAAUGGCAUUUGGGACUGCAAGGCUUGAGUGCGGCAGAGGAGACUGGAAUUCCUGGUGUAGCAGUGAAAUGCGUAGAUAUCAGGAGGAAUACCGGUGGCGAAGGCAGGUCUCUGGGCUGACACUGACGCUCAUGCACGAAAGCGUGGGGAGCAAACAGGAUUAGAUACCCUGGUAGUCCACGCCCUAAACGAUGUCGACUGGUUGUUGGGGGUUUGACACUCUCAGUAACGAAGCUAACGCGUGAAGUCGACCGCCUGGGGAGUACGGCCGCAAGGUUA
This 370-nucleotide ribosomal RNA is filed under the name uncultured bacterium. RNAcentral's name for it is "bacterial SSU rRNA". It matches the Rfam family "Bacterial small subunit ribosomal RNA", at positions 527 to 896 of the family's 1533-position model. The record is from RNAcentral.